GACGAACGCUGGCGGCGUGCUUAACACAUGCAAGUCGAGCGGAAAGGCUCCUUCGGGGGUACUCGAGCGGCGAACGGGUGAGUAACACGUGAGUAAUCUGCCCUUGGCUUUGGGAUAAGCCCCGGAAACGGGUCUAAUACCGGAUACGACGCACUCUCGCAUGGGAUGCGUGUGGAAAGUUUUUCGGCCAGGGAUGUGCUCGCGGCCUAUCAGCUUGUUGGUGGGGUAAUGGCCUACCAAGGCUUCGACGGGUAGCCGGCCUGAGAGGGUGACCGGCCACACUGGGACUGAGACACGGCCCAGACUCCUACGGGAGGCAGCAGUGGGGAAUAUUGGACAAUGGGCGGAAGCCUGAUCCAGCAACGCCGCGUGAGGGAUGACGGCCUCGG
This 389-nucleotide ribosomal RNA is filed under the name uncultured bacterium. RNAcentral describes it as "bacterial SSU rRNA". It matches the Rfam family "Bacterial small subunit ribosomal RNA", at positions 28 to 420 of the family's 1533-position model. The record is from RNAcentral.